Molecule: ribosomal RNA, 254 nt
Filed under: uncultured bacterium
Lineage: Bacteria
Description: partial 16S ribosomal RNA
Rfam family: Bacterial small subunit ribosomal RNA
Source: RNAcentral
UACGUAGGGGCCAAGCGUUGUCCGGAUUUAUUGGGCGUAAAGAGCUCGUAGGCGGUUCGGCAAGUCGAAUGUGAAAUCUCCACGCUCAACGUGGAGGGGUCAUUCGAUACUGCCGUGACUCGAGUCCGGUAGGGGAGUGUGGAACUCCCGGUGUAGCGGUGAAAUGCGCAGAGAUCGGGAGGAACACCUAUAGCGAAGGCAGCUUGCUGGGACGAUACUGACGCUAAGGCUCGAAAGCGUGGGGAGCGAACAGG